UACGUAGGGGGCAAGCGUUGUCCGGAAUCAUUGGGCGUAAAGCGCGUGUAGGCGGCUGGGCAAGUCCGCUCUGAAAGCCCGAGGCUCAACCUCGGGAGGCGAGUGGAUACUGCUCAGCUCGAGUCCGGAAGAGGAGUGUGGAAUUCCCGGUGUAGCGGUGAAAUGUGUAGAGAUCGGGAGGAACACCGGUGGCGAAGGCGGGUCUCUGGGCAAUUCCUGACGCUGAGGCGCGAAAGCGUGGGGAGCAAACGGG
RNAcentral lists this ribosomal RNA (253 nucleotides) under uncultured bacterium. RNAcentral's name for it is "partial 16S ribosomal RNA". It matches the Rfam family "Bacterial small subunit ribosomal RNA", at positions 524 to 776 of the family's 1533-position model. The record is from RNAcentral.